This 466-nucleotide ribosomal RNA is filed under the name uncultured bacterium. RNAcentral's name for it is "partial 16S ribosomal RNA". It matches the Rfam family "Bacterial small subunit ribosomal RNA", at positions 30 to 507 of the family's 1533-position model. The record is from RNAcentral.
CGAACGCUGGCGGCGUGCUUAACACAUGCACGUCGAACGGAAAGGCCCUGCUUUUGUGGGGUGCUCGAGUGGCGAACGGGUGAGUAACACGUGAGUAACCUGCCCUUGACUUUGGGAUAACUUCAGGAAACUGGGGCUAAUACCGGAUAGGAGCUCCUGCUGCAUGGUGGGGGUUGGAAAGUUUCGGCGGUUGGGGAUGGACUCGCGGCUUAUCAGCUUGUUGGUGGGGUAGUGGCUUACCAAGGCUUUGACGGGUAGCCGGCCUGAGAGGGUGACCGGCCACAUUGGGACUGAGAUACGGCCCAGACUCCUACGGGAGGCAGCAGUGGGGAAUAUUGCACAAUGGGCGGAAGCCUGAUGCAGCAACGCCGCGUGCGGGAUGACGGCCUUCGGAUUGUAAACCGCUUUCGCCUGUGACGAAGCGUGAGUGACGGUAAUGGGUAAAGAAGCACCGGCUAACUACGUG